ACGGGUGAGUAAUGCUUAGGAAUCUGCCUAUUAGUGGGGGACAACAUCUCGAAAGGGAUGCUAAUACCGCAUACGUCCUACGGGAGAAAGCAGGGGACCUUCGGGCCUUGCGCUAAUAGAUGAGCCUAAGUCGGAUUAGCUAGUUGCUGGGGUAAAGGCCUACCAAGGCGACGAUCUGUAGCGGGUCUGAGAGGAUGAUCCGCCACACUGGGACUGAGACACGGCCCAGACUCCUACGGGAGGCAGCAGUGGGGAAUAUUGGACAAUGGGGGGAACCCUGAUCCAGCCAUGCCGCGUGUGUGAAGAAGGCCUUUUGGUUGUAAAGCACUUUAAGCGAGGAGGAGGCUACCGAGAUUAAUACUCUUGGAUAGUGGACGUUACUCGCAGAAUAAGCACCGGCUAACUCUGUGCCAGCAGCCGCGGUAAUACAGAGGGUGCAAGCGUUAAUCGGAUUUACUGGGCGUAAAGCGCGCGUAGGUGGCCAAUUAAGUCAAAUGUGAAAUCCCCGAGCUUAACUUGGGAAUUGCAUUCGAUACUGGUUGGCUAGAGUAUGGGAGAGGAUGGUAGAAUUCCACGUGUAGCGGUGA
This 587-nucleotide ribosomal RNA is filed under the name uncultured bacterium. RNAcentral describes it as "bacterial SSU rRNA". It matches the Rfam family "Bacterial small subunit ribosomal RNA", at positions 102 to 684 of the family's 1533-position model. The record is from RNAcentral.